GUUAAUGUAGCUUAACAUAAAGCAAAGCACUGAAAAUGCUUAGAUGGAUACUACAUUAUCCCAUAAA
Molecule: transfer RNA, 67 nt
Filed under: Mus baoulei (Baoule's mouse)
Lineage: Eukaryota; Metazoa; Chordata; Mammalia; Rodentia; Muridae
Description: tRNA-Phe
Rfam family: tRNA
About the family: Transfer RNA (tRNA) molecules are approximately 80 nucleotides in length. Their secondary structure includes four short double-helical elements and three loops (D, anti-codon, and T loops).
Source: RNAcentral